AGAACGAACGCUGGCGGCAUGCCUAACACAUGCAAGUCGAACGCUUGCCGGGCUUCGGUUCGGCAGGAGUGGCGCACGGGUGAGUAGCGCGUGGGAACCUGCCCUGUUGUGGGGGAUAACCGAGGGAAACUUCGGCUAAUACCGCAUAAGCCGGUUGUCUUGAAAGAGAUGGCCGGGAAAGAUUUAUCGCGACAGGAGGGGCCCGCGUCGGAUUAGGUAGUUGGUAGGGUAACGGCCUACCAAGCCUUUGAUCCGUAGCUGGUCUGAGAGGAUGAUCAGCCACACUGGGACUGAGACACGGCCCAGACUCCUACGGGAGGCAGCAGUGGGGAAUAUUGGACAAUGGGCGCAAGCCUGAUCCAGCAAUGCCGCGUGAGUGAUGAAGGCCUUAGGGUUGUAAAGCUCUUUCGCCCGCGACGAUGAUGACGGUAGCGGGAGAAGAAGCCCGGCUAACUCGCGCCAGCAGCCGCGGUAA
This 475-nucleotide ribosomal RNA is filed under the name uncultured bacterium. RNAcentral describes it as "SSU rRNA". It matches the Rfam family "Bacterial small subunit ribosomal RNA", at positions 26 to 523 of the family's 1533-position model. The record is from RNAcentral.